This 2771-nucleotide ribosomal RNA is filed under the name Klebsiella pneumoniae. RNAcentral describes it as "bacterial LSU rRNA". It matches the Rfam family "Bacterial large subunit ribosomal RNA". The record is from RNAcentral. Lineage: Bacteria; Pseudomonadati; Pseudomonadota; Gammaproteobacteria; Enterobacterales; Enterobacteriaceae.
AGCGUACACGGUGGAUGCCCUGGCAGUCAGAGGCGAUGAAGGACGUGCUAAUCUGCGAAAAGCGUCGGUAAGGUGAUAUGAACCGUUAUAACCGGCGAUGUCCGAAUGGGGAAACCCAGUGCAAUUCGUUGCACUAUCGUUAACUGAAUACAUAGGUUAACGAGGCGAACCGGGGGAACUGAAACAUCUAAGUACCCCGAGGAAAAGAAAUCAACCGAGAUUCCCCCAGUAGCGGCGAGCGAACGGGGAGCAGCCCAGAGUCUGAAUCAGCUUGUGUGUUAGUGGAACGGUCUGGAAAGUCCGACGGUACAGGGUGAUAGUCCCGUACACCAAAAUGCACAGGUUGUGAACUCGAAGAGUAGGGCGGGACACGUGGUAUCCUGUCUGAAUAUGGGGGGACCAUCCUCCAAGGCUAAAUACUCCUGACUGACCGAUAGUGAACCAGUACCGUGAGGGAAAGGCGAAAAGAACCCCGGCGAGGGGAGUGAAAAAGAACCUGAAACCGUGUACGUACAAGCAGUGGGAGCACCUUCGGGUGUGACUGCGUACCUUUUGUAUAAUGGGUCAGCGACUUAUAUUCUGUAGCAAGGUUAACCGUAUAGGGGAGCCGCAGGGAAACCGAGUCUUAACUGGGCGUUAAGUUGCAGGGUAUAGACCCGAAACCCGGUGAUCUAGCCAUGGGCAGGUUGAAGGUUGGGUAACACUAACUGGAGGACCGAACCGACUAAUGUUGAAAAAUUAGCGGAUGACUUGUGGCUGGGGGUGAAAGGCCAAUCAAACCGGGAGAUAGCUGGUUCUCCCCGAAAGCUAUUUAGGUAGCGCCUCGUGAAUUCAUCUUCGGGGGUAGAGCACUGUUUCGGCUAGGGGGUCAUCCCGACUUACCAACCCGAUGCAAACUACGAAUACCGAAGAAUGUUAUCACGGGAGACACACGGCGGGUGCUAACGUCCGUCGUGAAGAGGGAAACAACCCAGACCGCCAGCUAAGGUCCCAAAGUCAUGGUUAAGUGGGAAACGAUGUGGGAAGGCACAGACAGCCAGGAUGUUGGCUUAGAAGCAGCCAUCAUUUAAAGAAAGCGUAAUAGCUCACUGGUCGAGUCGGCCUGCGCGGAAGAUGUAACGGGGCUAAACCAUGCACCGAAGCUGCGGCAGCGACACUAUGUGUUGUUGGGUAGGGGAGCGUUCUGUAAGCCUGCGAAGGUGUGCUGUGAGGCAUGCUGGAGGUAUCAGAAGUGCGAAUGCUGACAUAAGUAACGAUAAAGCGGGUGAAAAGCCCGCUCGCCGGAAGACCAAGGGUUCCUGUCCAACGUUAAUCGGGGCAGGGUGAGUCGACCCCUAAGGCGAGGCCGAAAGGCGUAGUCGAUGGGAAACAGGUUAAUAUUCCUGUACUUGGUGUUACUGCGAAGGGGGGACGGAGAAGGCUAUGUUAGCCGGGCGACGGUUGUCCCGGUUUAAGCAUGUAGGCUGGUUAUCCAGGCAAAUCCGGAUAAUCAAGGCUGAGGUGUGAUGACGAGGCACUACGGUGCUGAAGUAACAAAUGCCCUGCUUCCAGGAAAAGCCUCUAAGCAUCAGGUAACAUCAAAUCGUACCCCAAACCGACACAGGUGGUCAGGUAGAGAAUACCAAGGCGCUUGAGAGAACUCGGGUGAAGGAACUAGGCAAAAUGGUGCCGUAACUUCGGGAGAAGGCACGCUGGUGUGUAGGUGAAGCCCCUGCGGGUGGAGCUGAGACCAGUCGAAGAUACCAGCUGGCUGCAACUGUUUAUUAAAAACACAGCACUGUGCAAACACGAAAGUGGACGUAUACGGUGUGACGCCUGCCCGGUGCCGGAAGGUUAAUUGAUGGGGUUAUCCGUAAGGAGAAGCUCUUGAUCGAAGCCCCGGUAAACGGCGGCCGUAACUAUAACGGUCCUAAGGUAGCGAAAUUCCUUGUCGGGUAAGUUCCGACCUGCACGAAUGGCGUAAUGAUGGCCAGGCUGUCUCCACCCGAGACUCAGUGAAAUUGAACUCGCUGUGAAGAUGCAGUGUACCCGCGGCAAGACGGAAAGACCCCGUGAACCUUUACUAUAGCUUGACACUGAACAUUGAGCCUUGAUGUGUAGGAUAGGUGGGAGGCUUUGAAGCGUGGACGCCAGUCUGCGUGGAGCCAACCUUGAAAUACCACCCUUUAAUGUUUGAUGUUCUAACGUUGGCCCCUGACCGGGGUUGCGGACAGUGUCUGGUGGGUAGUUUGACUGGGGCGGUCUCCUCCCAAAGCGUAACGGAGGAGCACGAAGGUUAGCUAAUCCUGGUCGGACAUCAGGAGGUUAGUGCAAUGGCAUAAGCUAGCUUGACUGCGAGCGUGACGGCGCGAGCAGGUGCGAAAGCAGGUCAUAGUGAUCCGGUGGUUCUGAAUGGAAGGGCCAUCGCUCAACGGAUAAAAGGUACUCCGGGGAUAACAGGCUGAUACCGCCCAAGAGUUCAUAUCGACGGCGGUGUUUGGCACCUCGAUGUCGGCUCAUCACAUCCUGGGGCUGAAGUAGGUCCCAAGGGUAUGGCUGUUCGCCAUUUAAAGUGGUACGCGAGCUGGGUUUAGAACGUCGUGAGACAGUUCGGUCCCUAUCUGCCGUGGGCGCUGGAGAAUUGAGGGGGGCUGCUCCUAGUACGAGAGGACCGGAGUGGACGCAUCACUGGUGUUCGGGUUGUCAUGCCAAUGGCACUGCCCGGUAGCUAAAUGCGGAAGAGAUAAGUGCUGAAAGCAUCUAAGCACGAAACUUGCCCCGAGAUGAGUUCU